GCGACCCCAGGAUGGGCGGGGCGACCCGCU
Molecule: ribosomal RNA, 30 nt
Filed under: Peristylus densus
Lineage: Eukaryota; Viridiplantae; Streptophyta; Magnoliopsida; Asparagales; Orchidaceae
Description: partial 26S ribosomal RNA
Source: RNAcentral